Long non-coding RNA from Oreochromis aureus, 195 nucleotides. RefSeq lists it as uncharacterized. NCBI's taxonomy places the organism in Eukaryota, Metazoa, Chordata, Actinopteri, Cichliformes, Cichlidae. The transcript has 3 exons. The record is from RefSeq and is a predicted model, not a curated record.
GUUUUAAAAAAGGUACUCCAGCACUUGAAGUGCAAAAAAGAUUCUAAAAGGCUCAUGUUGCAAGACAAAAUCUCAAGCACUGGAUGAUACAGAAGGAGGACAAAAUGAGAACACAACCCUGAAAAAAAACUGGUGAAAUAUGUCUCUUGCAGAUAGUAUCAAAUAUCACGACAUUGGAGACGAGCUGGUGGUGGA